CACAGCCGCCGCUCACGGCCGAAAUCAUGCGGCCUUAUGGUCUUUCGGGCGUCUGCUAAUGCAACAGGACCUACGCUGUGUGCAAAACCUCCUGCACCAUCAGUAACACCGGCACCAAUGGAACCGCUGAGCAAUCUCCUCCGCAAAGCCGUCAGAAGUCAUAGGGGGUUAUAGAUAUCGCUCACUUUUUUCCACGGAUUUCAUUCAGGACAAUGGAAUUGCACAGUUCAUUGGUCAUUCAGUGUGGCCUGACUAUAUAUAUAUUUUGUGUAGAAAUAGUAAAACAACUUAACUAGAGUGAAAGCAGAGUUUGGAGGACAGGAAAGCAGUGAAAAAACUUUUUCCUUUUUUCUUUUUUUUUUUUCCCCCUGAACUUAUACACAGCAUUAGAGAUGUGAAAUUCAAGUAAGCUUUGCAGCACAUAAUGUCAACAUCCUUCUACAACACCGGACAACUCAGCACGUGUCCUCUGGUGCUCCCUGCCCGGCAGCUGUCCCAGCUGGCAGUCUGCUCUUGUUCCCUUAGCAAUAGUAUUAGUAAAUUUAAGAACUUCAAACCUGGUACAAAUGGCAAAGCUGUCUGCGGUUUAGUAGCUACAGAGGUGAUCAUAAGAGCUGCUGGGAAAGGAUGAAAGAGCUAUAAAUCCUUGCUUUAAUAUACAUCACCCAAGAAACUUGCAGAAAGGACUGUGAAAAUGUGAAGUCAAUAGAGCCUCUUCCCAGGUUGUUUUUAACAAGAAUUUUACAAUGUCAGAGACUUUGUAAUGUUACACAUUAUCCUUCAGUUGUCAUUUGCAUUUAUCUGCUAAAACAUAAUGUUGCAUAUUAGAAGCUUUACCACACUGCUCCAAAACUUGAUAUUUAUAAAGCUUAAUAAUGUUGCUGGUCAAAACAGUAACUAUUUCAAUGUUCAGACACAGCUACAGGUUUUUCAUGUUUUUCUGUGAUUUAAUUCCUGCUCCUACUGUCUUUAACAAGUCUCUUGGCAGUUUUCCCAGCUGUUCUAGCACUCUUCUGGAAAAAAACUCCAACAGUUUAGAAAGAAAUAUUGAUAGUUUUUUCCAUUAAAUGUGUGAAACAAGAAAAUUUGGUAAUGAAGUACAAGAAAACAAGUCUAUCCUGGGAACUGAUUAAGGCUAAAACUUAAAGACUUGCACAUGAAUAAUGAUAGACCUAACAGGAAUGAGAACCUCCAAGAUUUGAGUUUCUUCCCCACUAGAUACACACACAAGUUAUACAUACAUAAUCCUGAAAACAUUUUUAAUAAAAUUUACCACAUAUGGUGUUUGUUUUGUUCUUCCUUAAAAGCAAGAAUGAACUCUAAUAAACAAAUGUAACAAGGC
Passer domesticus (house sparrow) is the source of this 1342-nucleotide long non-coding RNA. RefSeq lists it as uncharacterized. The record is from RefSeq and is a predicted model, not a curated record. The transcript is spliced from 2 exons. Lineage: Eukaryota; Metazoa; Chordata; Aves; Passeriformes; Passeridae.